RNAcentral lists this long non-coding RNA (239 nucleotides) under Prunus persica (peach). Its description in RNAcentral is "long non-coding RNA (PPER_LNC001080)". The record is from RNAcentral. Lineage: Eukaryota; Viridiplantae; Streptophyta; Magnoliopsida; Rosales; Rosaceae.
CGGCAGCAAUAACAGAAGAGACUGCACCAAGGCAUUAGACGUUAGAAACCAAUCCAGCAGGAAAAGACUGAAUAGAGUUAAAAGAAAAGACUUACCAAUCACUUCUCCAGCAUGAACAGACUGCCCACCUACGCUAGUCAAAGAAGGAUCUAAUACAGGCAGAAUAGACAUUAGAAAUCAAUCAUCAGGACAGAACGAAUCCCAGACAGAAUCAGAAAAUCUACCUUCUAUAAUUUGCG